UUUCCGUAGGUGAACCUGCGGAAGGAUCAUUAUUGUAUAACCGAGGUGCGAGGGCUGUCGCUGACCCGAAAGGUCGUGCACGCCCGAGUGCCCUCACACACGUCCAUCUCACCCCUAUGUGCACCACCGCGUGGGUCCCCCUUUGGCUGUUUCGGGGGGGGCCUUCGUUUUUACACCAACCUUUUUAUGAGGGGUGAAUUGAUUUUUUGUUUUUUCCGAUACCGAAUUCAAUCAAACUUUCAAAAACGGUUCUCUUGCCUCUCGCAUCGAUGAAUAACG
This 279-nucleotide unclassified non-coding RNA is filed under the name plant metagenome. RNAcentral's name for it is "partial contains small subunit ribosomal RNA, internal transcribed spacer 1, and 5.8S ribosomal RNA". The record is from RNAcentral.